AUCUACGACCAUAGAACGAAGACACACAGGGUAUCCCGUCCGCUCUGCCUUACUUAAGCUUCGUAUCGAUGGGCUAGUAGUGUAGUCGGAGAUGAUACGCGAAUCCCCAUUGUUGUAGAUU
RNAcentral lists this ribosomal RNA (121 nucleotides) under Orbilia oligospora ATCC 24927. Lineage: Eukaryota; Fungi; Ascomycota; Orbiliomycetes; Orbiliales; Orbiliaceae. The record is from RNAcentral.